UGGGGGAAUUUUGGACAAUGGGCGAAAGCCUGAUCCAGCCAUUCCGCGUGCAGGAUGAAGGCCCUCGGGUUGUAAACUGCUUUUGUACAGAACGAAAAGGUCUCUAUUAAUACUAGGGGCUCAUGACGGUACUGUAAGAAUAAGCACCGGCUAACUACGUGCCAGCAGCCGCGGUAAUACGUAGGGUGCAAGCGUUAAUCGGAAUUACUGGGCGUAAAGCGUGCGCAGGCGGUUAUAUAAGUCAGAUGUGAAAUCCCCGGGCUCAACCUGGGAACUGCAUUUGAGACUGUAUAGCUAGAGUACGGUAGAGGGGGAUGGAAUUCCGCGUGUAGCAGUGAAAUGCGUAGAUAUGCGGAGGAACACCGAUGGCGAAGGCAAUCCCCUGGACCUGUACUGACGCUCAUGCACGAAAGCGUGGGGAGCAAACAGGAUUAGAUACCCUGGUAGUCCACGCCCUAAACGAUGUCAACUGGUUGUUGGGUCUUAACUGACUCAGUAACGAAGCUAACGCGUGAAGUUGACCGCCUGGGGAGUACGGCCGCAAGGUUG
Molecule: ribosomal RNA, 549 nt
Filed under: uncultured prokaryote
Description: bacterial SSU rRNA
Rfam family: Bacterial small subunit ribosomal RNA
Source: RNAcentral